Molecule: ribosomal RNA, 253 nt
Filed under: uncultured bacterium
Lineage: Bacteria
Description: partial 16S ribosomal RNA
Rfam family: Bacterial small subunit ribosomal RNA
Source: RNAcentral
UACGAAGGCCACAAGCGUUAUCCGGAUUUAUUGGGCGUAAAGGGCGCGUAGGAGGCGCGGUAAGUUUUCAGUAAAAUUCCAGGGCUCAACCCUGGGGCUGCUGGGAAUACUGCCAUGCUAGAGGGCGUUAGAGGCAGAUGGAACACACGGUGUAGGGGUGAAAUCCGUUGAUAUCGUGUGGAACACCAAAGGCGAAGGCAUUCUGCUGGGACGUUCCUGACUCUGAGGCGCGAAAGCGUGGGGAGCAAAAAGG